AAUCGUCCAAGGCCCACUGGGCAUGCCUGAAAAAUAAGGCCACUAGAAACUCCCUCAGGUGUUCAAGUCUUUUCCCGCUCCUCGGAAUUUUCCCCUCUCAUUCGCAUUACUUUUAUUCUGAUGGAAACGGCGCGGGCUAGGACCCAGGAGGGGCGCAUUUCAAGUCCUACUGGCCCGGCAUUCGCGGUGGGCAACCCUUGCGAGGCCCGCGGUUCGCAGGGAGCUGGCGGUCAGAGCAGUGGCUCUGGAGAGCGACGCGAUGAAGCCCAGACCUGCAGGGUUCGUGGAUAAUAAACUCAAGCAGCGAGUCAUCCAGUACCUUACCAGUAACAAAUGUGGCAAAUAUGUGGACAUUGGAGUCUUAGCAUCUGAUUUACAAAGAAUGUACAGUAUAGACUAUGGUCGAAGAAAAAGAAAUGCUUUUAGGAUUCAGGUAGAAAAAGUAUUUAGCAUAAUUAGUAGUGAGAAGGAACUUAAGAAUUUAACAGAAUUAGAAGAUGAACAUUUGGCAAAAAGAGCAAGACAUGGUGAAGAGGAUAAUGAGUAUACUGAAAGCUAUUCUGAUGAUGAUUCAAGUGUGGAAGAGUACCGAGAUCCACAGUCAGCAAAUCACAUGAACACUUCCCUGCUGUCUUUAUAUCGGAAAGGAAAUCCUGAUUCUGUUUCAAAUACUCCUGAGAUGGAACAAACAGAAACCACCUCUUCAACACCACGGUUAAGUUCCAAAACAGCCUCCAUUCCCUUGAAGACUCCUGCCAAAGAUUCAGAGGGAGGAUGGUUUAUUGACAAAACCCCAAGUGGAAAGAAAGACAGUUUUUUCUUGGAACUAUCAGAUGAGAAAAGUAAUCCUAAGAAGCCAAUAACUGAGAUACAGGAUUCAAAAGAGUCUUCUCUUUUGGAGAGUGAUAUUAAACGGAAAGGCAGGCUAAAGAAUAAAGGAAGCAAAAGGAAGAAAGAAGAUCUUCAGGAAGUAGAUGGAGAAAUUGAAGCUGUCCUGCAAAAGAAAGCUAAAGCCGGGGGGUUAGAAUUCCAGAUCUCCAACGUGAAGUUUGAAGAUGUGGGAGGCAAUGAUAUGACAUUAAAAGAGGUCUGCAAGAUGCUCAUUCACAUGCGUCACCCAGAGGUGUACCACCACCUGGGCGUCGUGCCCCCUCGUGGAGUUCUCCUUCAUGGGCCACCAGGCUGUGGAAAGACAUUACUUGCACAUGCAAUUGCUGGGGAACUUGACCUGCCAAUUUUGAAAGUGGCUGCUCCAGAGAUUGUGUCUGGAGUAUCCGGAGAGUCUGAGCAGAAGCUGAGAGAACUAUUCGAGCAAGCUGUGUCAAAUGCACCAUGUAUCAUUUUCAUUGAUGAAAUUGAUGCUAUUACACCCAAAAGAGAAGUUGCUUCAAAAGAUAUGGAACGAAGAAUUGUAGCCCAACUCCUAACCUGCAUGGAUGAUCUGAAUAAUGUGGCUGCUACAGCCCGGGUCCUAGUUAUUGGAGCUACUAAUCGACCAGACUCAUUAGACCCUGCUUUGAGACGUGCUGGAAGGUUCGACCGAGAAAUAUGCCUAGGUAUCCCAGAUGAAGCAUCCAGGGAAAGAAUACUUCAAACAUUGUGCAGAAAACUGAGACUUCCUCAAGCUUUUGAUUUCUGUAACUUAGCACACCUAACUCCAGGCUUUGUUGGUGCUGAUCUGAUGGCACUGUGCCGAGAGGCAGCAAUGUGUGCAGUCAAUAGAGUCUUAAUGAAGCUACAGGAGCAGCAGAAGAAAGAUCCUGAAAUGGAAGAUUUGCCAUCUAAAGGAGUCCAGGAGGAAAGGCUGGGAACUGAGCCCACUUCUGAAACACAGGAUGAAUUACAAAGGCUGCUGGGGUUGCUAAGAGACCAAGAUCCCCUCUCAGAAGAGCAGAUGCAAGGACUGUGCAUUGAACUGAAUGAUUUCAUUGUUGCUCUAUCCUCAGUCCAACCCUCUGCCAAAAGAGAAGGCUUUGUCACUGUCCCUAAUGUGACAUGGGCAGAUAUUGGUGCCCUGGAAGACAUUAGAGAGGAGCUCACUAUGGCAAUAUUGGCACCAGUACGCAACCCGGACCAGUUCAAAGCUCUUGGAUUGGUGACUCCGGCUGGGGUGCUCCUUGCUGGUCCUCCUGGCUGUGGGAAGACUCUGCUGGCAAAGGCUGUUGCGAAUGAGUCUGGACUAAAUUUUAUAUCUGUCAAGGGCCCCGAAUUACUAAACAUGUACGUUGGUGAGAGUGAACGUGCUGUGCGACAAAUUUUUCAACGAGCCAAGAACUCAGCACCCUGUGUGAUAUUCUUUGAUGAGGUGGAUGCUUUAUGUCCUCGAAGAUCAGAUCGAGAGACAGGGGCAAGUGUCCGAGUGGUGAAUCAGCUACUUACAGAGAUGGAUGGUCUGGAAACACGCCAGCAGGUUUUUAUUAUGGCAGCCACUAACAGGCCAGAUAUAAUUGACCCUGCAAUCCUGCGCCCAGGCCGCCUGGACAAAACACUGUUUGUGGGUUUACCACCCCCCGCAGAUCGCCUUGCCAUCUUAAAAACUAUCACAAAAGUGAAAUGGUACCAAACCACCACUGGAUGCAGAUGUAAAUUUGGAAGCAAUUGCUGGUGACCUUCGCUGUGAUUGCUAUACGGGUGCAGAUCUCUCUGCUUUGGUACGAGAAGCUUCUAUCUGUGCCCUGAGACAGGAAAUGGCAAGACAGAAGAGUGGAAAUGAAAAAGGUGAACUCAAGAUUAGUAAUAAGCACUUUGAAGAAGCUUUCAAGAAAGUAAGAUCAUCUAUAUCAAAAAAGGAUCAAGUCAUGUAUGAACGUUUGCAGGAGUCCCUCAACCGGUGACGUCUCCAGCAACCAGCUCGAAGGAGCCAGCCCAUCAAGCCAGCAGAGAACCCUACACGCUCUGAAGGACCUGCUUUCAGCUGGACACAGGUGCUGUCUCAUGUAAGCAAUUUGUUUUCAAAUUAAUGAGGCCAAGCUGAAGCUGAAGACUCUUCCCAUCUGACCAGUCUGGUGUGAAAAUGCCUUCUUCCUCUUUAAGAAAAAGGAAAAAUUUUAAACUGCUGAAAUAAAAUAACUGUUACACUUUUCAAAUAAAACUUUUACUUUGAACUA
Molecule: RNA transcript, 3107 nt
Organism: Cebus imitator (Panamanian white-faced capuchin)
Lineage: Eukaryota; Metazoa; Chordata; Mammalia; Primates; Cebidae
Gene: NVL
Gene name: nuclear VCP like
Exons: 23
Source: RefSeq, a predicted model, not a curated record